This 445-nucleotide ribosomal RNA is filed under the name uncultured bacterium. RNAcentral describes it as "bacterial SSU rRNA". It matches the Rfam family "Bacterial small subunit ribosomal RNA", at positions 355 to 796 of the family's 1533-position model. The record is from RNAcentral.
UAAGGAAUAUUGGUCAAUGGGCGGUAGCCUGAACCAGCCAUGCCGCGUGCAGGACGAGAGCCCUAUGGGUUUUAAACUGCUUUAGGCGGGGAAUACAGGUAGUUACGAGUAACUAAGAUGAAUGUACCCGCAGAAUAAGGAUCGGCUAACUCCGUGCCAGCAGCCGCGGUAAUACGGAGGAUUCGAGCGUUAUCCGGAUUUAUUGGGUUUAAAGGGUGCGUAGGCGGUUUUUUAAGUCAGCGGUGAAAGGUAUACGCUUAACGUAUAAAGUGCCGUUGAUACUGGAAGACUUGAGUACAGAUGAAGUUGGCGGAAUGUGGCAAGUAGCGGUGAAAUGCAUAGAUAUGCCACAGAACACCGAUAGCGAAGGCAGCUGACUAAGUUGUAACUGACGCUGAGGCACGAAGGUGCGGGGAUCGAACAGGAUUAGAUACCCGGGUAGUCC